GGGGCCGUAGUCUAGCUUGGUAUGAUACCUGGUUUGGGACCAGGAGGUCUGGCGUUCAAAUCGCUGCGGCCCCACCA
RNAcentral lists this transfer RNA (77 nucleotides) under Promethearchaeota archaeon. Its description in RNAcentral is "tRNA-Pro". It matches the Rfam family "tRNA". Rfam says of the family: Transfer RNA (tRNA) molecules are approximately 80 nucleotides in length. Their secondary structure includes four short double-helical elements and three loops (D, anti-codon, and T loops). RNAcentral also lists the same sequence under 1 other name. Lineage: Archaea; Promethearchaeati; Promethearchaeota. The record is from RNAcentral.